UGCCACAGCCAUAUCACCCUGCAGCCCAAGACCGGUUACUCACUGAAGCUAAGCAGGGCUGAGCCUGGUCAGUACCUGGAUGGGAGACCAAUAGGGAACACUAGGUUGCUGUUGGAA
Danio rerio (zebrafish) is the source of this 117-nucleotide non-coding RNA. The record is from Rfam. Lineage: Eukaryota; Metazoa; Chordata; Actinopteri; Cypriniformes; Danionidae.